CAUUGAAUCUGUAGAUUGCUUUGGGUAGUAUAGGCAUUUUAACAUGAUUAAUUCUUCCAAUCCAUUAGCAAUGGAUAUCUUCCCAAUCAUUUGAAUUCUCAAUUUCUUUCUUUUAUUAUGUUGAGAUAUGUUCCAUAUAAACCCACUUUUUGAAGGUUUUUAUCAAGAAUGGAUGUUGAAUUUUUUUUUUUUACUGUUUAUAAACAUUUGGAAUUUUAUUUAAAAAAAAAAAAAUCACAACCAUGAACAUUGUUACAGUUAGAGGCCCUCUUGGUUCUCCACAAUGAUACUGAGCAUGCUCACAAGGGGUUCCCAUUGUUUAGUCUUUAAACAACCAUCUUUAAAAGAAGGAAAAAAAAACUCGGCACACUACCAUUUAACUUGUUUUAAUGUUUCUUCACAAAUGGUGAAAAAUACUAAAGUACAGACAAGGAAUAAUCAUAAUGUUGUGGCCAACAUUAUAAAUAUGGAAUUAUAAAUUUAAAACAUUUUCUGGCUUAAAAAAUAAAUCUGGUAGUCAAUGCAGCUCUGCGGGGUCUCUGCGUCUAGUAGGGCCGGUCUCUGCGCUCCUGACGGUGCUCGCCUUUAUCCAUUUUUCCAGGUCCUCCACGCCCGCCUCUUCUUCCUCCCAUCUGUUCCAUCAAAGGUCCAGGGAGUGGCAGUGGCAUCCCUCUGCCCUCACGGGGAGGCAUACCACCCCGCAUGCUGUUCAUUGGAGGUUUCUUCCGAGCAAGAGAAACCUUAAGUUUGCUUCCUUGAAAAUCUUUCCCAUCAAACCACUCCACAGCAGCCUUGGCAGUUGGUGGGUCUUCAUAGGAUACUGUAGCAUCACCUUUGGGCUUUCCUGUUUCCUUGUCCAAGUAGAUAUGGAUCAUGGGUUGUCCGGUUCUCUUCAUCUUAACAACUCCACAUUGCUUAAAGAAGUCAGCCAGAUCAUCUAGAGUCACAUUGUCAUUUAGGCCUUGCACAUAAAUUGCACUGUUGUCAGAGUCUUCAUCUGGAUCUACAGGUGGGCCUAGAUCAAGAUCUGGUCCUUCAUCCAUGGGUCCACCAGGCUUAUUGAAGCCACCUCGCUCUCCAGCGCUGCCCAUUCCACCGCGUCCUCCUCCCCGCCCACCUCUGCUUAUGCCUCCACGAUCAAAUCCCCCUCUUCCCCUGCCCCGGUUAUCAGGGCCACUCAUGCUCCGGUUCUCUCCUGGUCCGGAAAAUCCUCCAGACUCCUGCCCAUAAACACCCAUGCUACUGGGGUGGUCCUGUCGGAAUGAACUCUGCUGCCCGUAGCUGCUGCUCUGUUGGCUAUAUUGACUUGGAGCCUGGCUGUAGGAUCCAGUUUGGGGGGGAUAACUAGUGGGCGGCUGCUGCCCAUAGCUGCUUUGUUGACCAUAGCUACUCUGCUGUCCAUAGCUGCUCGGCUGCCCAUAGGUGUUCUGCUGAGAGUAACUGCUCUGAUCAUAACUAGUCGGCUGUGUAGAGGAGUAGCUGGUAGGAGGAUAAGAUGGUGGUGCUGUGACUGGCUGCAUGGGGUAGCUCCCAGGUACCUGGGGAUAACUGUAGUUACUCUGUCCAUAUCCUAGGCUGGGCUGGUUGUAACCCCCUGUGCUAGAUUGAGGUUGACUAGUCUCAGCGGGUUUGUUACCAUCCUGUGGUCUUGCAGGUGCGGUGGCUGCUGGCUGCUGCCCAUAGGCUGGGUAAGCAGGCUGAGUGCCAUAUGCAGACUGAGCUGCAUAGGAGGCCUGGGUGGUAGUGACCGUAGCAGUGUGGUAUCAUAAGCACCAGUGCCGUACCCCUGGACAGGCUGACUGUAUGCCUGGGGGGCAGUUGGAGUAGUAUAACCAGCGGGAGGCUGUCCAUAAGAAGUUGCAUGGCGGUCUGCCCAUAGGUCGCAGUGGUCUGAGCCUGGGUAUAGCUGACAUCAGUGGGCUGUCCAUAGGUUCCAUAACUCUGCUGCCCAUAUGCCUGGGUGAUCUGUGCAUAUCCUUGAGUUGGUUGGGCGGUGUAUGCACUGUAGCCCUGCUGGGCUGCAGCUUGGCUGUAGGUACUGUAAUCCGUGGACGCCAUUUUCUCUCCUUCCCUCUCGUUCUCUCAACGUCCGUCUCCCUCUCGCUUUCCCUCUAGGCCUGGAUGUUGAAUUUUAUCAGAUUUUUUUCUGGAUCUAUUG
RNAcentral lists this long non-coding RNA (2158 nucleotides) under Canis lupus familiaris (dog). RNAcentral's name for it is "lncRNA (ENSCAFG00000045112.2)". Lineage: Eukaryota; Metazoa; Chordata; Mammalia; Carnivora; Canidae. The record is from RNAcentral.